CGGUAAAACCAGCACCUCAAGUGGUCAGGAGGAUUAUUGGGCCUAAAGCAUCCGUAGCCGGCUCUGUAAGUUUUCGGUUAAAUCUAUAUGCUCAACAUAUAGGCUGCCGAAAAUACUGCACAGCUAGGGAAUGGGAGAGGUAGACGGUACUCGGUAGGAAGGGGUAAAAUCCUUUGAUCUAUCGAUGACCACCUGUGGCGAAGGCGGUCUACCAGAACAUGUUCGACGGUGAGGGAUGAAAGCUGGGGGAGCAAACCGGAUUAGAUACCCGGGUAGUCCCAGCUGUAAACGAUGCAGACUCGAUAAUGCACUGGCACAUAGCCAGUGCAGUGUCGCAGGGAAGCCGUUAAGUCUGCCGCCUGGGAAGUACGUACGCAAGUAUGAAACUUAAAGGAAUUGGCGGGGGAGCACCACAAGGGGUGAAGCCUGCGGUUCAAUUGGAGUCAACGCCAGAAAUCUUACCCGGAGAGACAGCAGAAUGAAGGUCAGGCUGAAGACCUUACCAGACAAGCUGAGAGGUGGUGCAUGGCCGUCGUCAGCUCGUGCCGUGAGAUGUCCUGUUAAGUCAGGUAACGAGCGAGAUCCCUGCCAUUAGUUGCCAUCACUACUCUCAGGAGUAGUGGGGCGAAUUAAUGGGACCGCCGUAGUUAAUACGGAGGAAGGAAGGGGCCACGGCAGGUCAGUAUGCCCCGAAACUCUGGGGCCGCACGCGGGCUGCAAUGGUAGUGACAAUGGGUUCCUAACUCGAAAGAGAGCGGCAAUCCCAAAACGCUACCACAGUUAUGACUGAGGGCUGUAACUCGCCCUCACGAAUAUGGAAUCCCUAGUAACUGCGUGUCAUUAUCGCGCGGUGAAUACGUCCCUGCUCC
This 869-nucleotide ribosomal RNA is filed under the name uncultured archaeon. Its description in RNAcentral is "bacterial SSU rRNA". It matches the Rfam family "Archaeal small subunit ribosomal RNA", at positions 468 to 1336 of the family's 1478-position model. The record is from RNAcentral.